Molecule: ribosomal RNA, 497 nt
Filed under: uncultured bacterium
Lineage: Bacteria
Description: partial 16S ribosomal RNA
Rfam family: Bacterial small subunit ribosomal RNA
Source: RNAcentral
GAUGAACGCUGGCGGCGUGCCUAAUACAUGCAAGUCGAGCGAACAGACGAGGAGCUUGCUCCUCUGACGUUAGCGGCGGACGGGUGAGUAACACGUGGAUAACCUACCUAUAAGACUGGGAUAACUUCGGGAAACCGGAGCUAAUACCGGAUAAUAUAUUGAACCGCAUGGUUCAAUAGUGAAAGACGGUUUUGCUGUCACUUAUAGAUGGAUCCGCGCUGCAUUAGCUAGUUGGUAAGGUAACGGCUUACCAAGGCAACGAUGCAUAGCCGACCUGAGAGGGUGAUCGGCCACACUGGAACUGAGACACGGUCCAGACUCCUACGGGAGGCAGCAGCAGGGAAUCUUCCGCAAUGGGCGAAAGCUUGACGGAGCAACGCCGCGUGAGUGAUGAAGGUCUUCGGAUCGUAAAACUCUGUUAUUAGGGAAGAACAAAUGUGUAAGUAACUAUGCACGUCUUGACGGUACCUAAUCAGAAAGCCACGGCUAACUACGUG